Molecule: long non-coding RNA, 996 nt
Organism: Bos taurus (domestic cattle)
Lineage: Eukaryota; Metazoa; Chordata; Mammalia; Artiodactyla; Bovidae
Source: Ensembl
GUGAGAGUUGGACUGUGAAGAAGGCUGAGUGCCGAAGAAUUGAUGCUUUUGAACUGUGGUGUUGGAGAAGACUCUUGCGAGUCCCUUGGACUGCAAGGAGAUCCAACCAGUCCAUUCUGAAGGAGAUCAGCCCUGGGAUUUCUUUGGAGGGAAUGAUGCUGAAGCUGAAACUCCAGUACUUUGGCCACCUCAUGGGAAGAGUUGACUUAUUGGAAAAGACUCUGAUGCUGGGAGGGAUUGGGGGAAGGAGGAGAAGGGGACGACAGAGGAUGAGAUGGCUGGAUGACAUCACUGACUCGAUGGACGUGAGUCUGAGUGACCUCCGGGAGUUGGUGAUGGACAGGGAGGCCUGGUGUGCUGCGAUUCAUGGAGUCACAAAGAGUCGGACACGACUGAGCGACUGAACUGACUGAACUGAACUGAGGACUCAGUUGCAACAACUUUGCAGGCAGAUUCAUUACCAUCUGAACCAUCAGGGAAGCCUUUGAACAAGAACAAAAUGAUGAACUGAGAAAUCCAGAUUGAUGGUUUGAGAAGGGAAGCUGGUCGAAGUUUUUAUAGAGCAUUCAACAAACUGACACAUCCAAAUUUGUGGGAGAAAAGGGAAUUUACUGAAGAACAGAAAGACCACAUUUGCAUCCUUGUAUAUGUAUCAUGCCUGUGAAGGUAAACAGCAGCUCAACUUCUACCACAACAUCAAAUGGUUCAAUAGUCAAGUACUAGAACCGAAUAUAAUAUUCCAAGCAGUCACCUAUGAAUUCGGGAUCUAAGCAUUCUGAGAACAACCGCUGCCUAGAGAUGUUCUAGGUUCAUUAGUUUGUGGACAGAAAUAUUGCUGUUCAUUCGACUGUGAUUUCCCAAUGACCUGUGUAACUUUUAUCAUGCAUCCAUUAAAAAUUAUGGGGCAGAAUACUACUUAAUGACACAGAAGGGAAGAUGUUCAUGAUAUUUUCUAAGUGAAAAAAGUGCCUUCCAAAAUGAUAGGUCAAGUAUGAC